GACGAGGGAUCCUAGCGUUGUUCGGAAUCAUUGGGCGUAAAGCGGGUGUAGGUGGCUUUGUAAGUCAGGUGUGAAAGCCCAGGGCUCAACCCUGGAAGUGCAUUUGAUACUGCGAAGCUUGAGUGCUGGAGAGGUAAGUAGAAUUCCUGGUGUAGUGGUGAAAUACGUAGAUAUCAGGAGGAAUACCGGAGGCGAAGGCGGCUUACCAGCCAGACACUGACACUCAGACCCGAAAGUGUGGGGAUCAAACAGG
RNAcentral lists this ribosomal RNA (253 nucleotides) under uncultured bacterium. Its description in RNAcentral is "partial 16S ribosomal RNA". It matches the Rfam family "Bacterial small subunit ribosomal RNA", at positions 524 to 776 of the family's 1533-position model. The record is from RNAcentral. RNAcentral also lists the same sequence under 2 other names.